CACUGCUGGGGGGAGAAUAACACACACUGUCACUCUUAAGGCACAGAAGGAAAUCUACUGCACAGAGCGAAGGAAAGGGAAGAGAGCCAUCUACUCCCGAGGGUGCGGCUGGAGUACCUGCUGGACCAGGACCACCUCUUGGAGGGGACAGAAGCACGGAGACCAGGGGCGUAGCCCUGUCAGAGACCUUCUAAUGAGAACGACAGAGAAUGCCUUGCCGCCGCCCAACCUUCCUAUGAUCAGUCUAACAAGCAGCAAGUGAUAGCAGUCGAAUAUUGCUGAGAGACUUCAAAAAGUGUGGAAAGAGACUCUCCCAAAGGAAAACCCAAAGAGAAGAUGGAAACCUGAGGGUGGAAAAGAAAUUAAGAAAAGCCCUCUGACAAGCCGACCCCUACCCUCAACACACGGCAACGCCAGAGGAAUUUUAAAUCUGCAGGGUCUGUGGCUAACCACAGUGACGACAAACCCCAAACUGAGUUCACCAAAAGCCUAGCAGAAGGAAAGGUGUACUCAUUUCCAGGGAAGAAAUUCUUCUGGGAAGCUCUCCAUAAGGCUAAAACACUUGCGCUGUUCAAAGACUUUUUUUUUUUCAAUUUGGAACCUGAAAAGAGGCACACAGUCUAAAGAGAUCAAAACAGAGCCCAGGAGUGAAGUAAGG
Long non-coding RNA from Bos taurus (domestic cattle), 658 nucleotides. NCBI's taxonomy places the organism in Eukaryota, Metazoa, Chordata, Mammalia, Artiodactyla, Bovidae. The record is from Ensembl.